CCGGCUUACCAACCCGAUGCAAACUGCGAAUACCGGAGAAUGUUAUCACGGGAGACACACGGCGGGUGCUAACGUCCGUCGUGAAGAGGGAAACAACCCAGACCGCCAGCUAAGGUCCCAAAGUCAUGGUUAAGUGGGAAACGAUGUGGGAAGGCCCAGACAGCCAGGAUGUUGGCUUAGAAGCAGCCAUCAUUUAAAGAAAGCGUAA
RNAcentral lists this ribosomal RNA (208 nucleotides) under Salmonella enterica subsp. enterica serovar Enteritidis. RNAcentral's name for it is "partial 23S ribosomal RNA". It matches the Rfam family "Bacterial large subunit ribosomal RNA", at positions 931 to 1137 of the family's 2925-position model. The record is from RNAcentral. Lineage: Bacteria; Pseudomonadati; Pseudomonadota; Gammaproteobacteria; Enterobacterales; Enterobacteriaceae.